UUGCUCUAUGGUUCAAUGGUAGAACGGCGCACUGUUAAUGCGAUGGUUACUGGUUCGAGUCCAGUUAGAGCAGU
This 74-nucleotide transfer RNA is filed under the name Apilactobacillus kunkeei. Its description in RNAcentral is "tRNA-Asn". It matches the Rfam family "tRNA". From Rfam's summary of the family: Transfer RNA (tRNA) molecules are approximately 80 nucleotides in length. Their secondary structure includes four short double-helical elements and three loops (D, anti-codon, and T loops). Lineage: Bacteria; Bacillati; Bacillota; Bacilli; Lactobacillales; Lactobacillaceae. The record is from RNAcentral.